UCCGGUUUGGCACCGGCAGUCCCUCCAGAGUCCCCGGCCGGAUUAUUCAUCCGCCGCUGGCAACUGGACGCGGGGGUUGCGCUCGUUGCGGGACUUAACCCAACAUCUCACGACACGAGCUGACGACAGCCAUGCAGCACCUGUGCACGGACUCCGAAGAGGGCCCGGUGUUUCCACCAGGUUUCCCGUGCAUGUCAAGCCCAGGUAAGGUUCUUCGCGUUGCGUCGAAUUAAACCACAUGCUCCACCGCUUGUGCGGGCCCCCGUCAAUUCCUUUGAGUUUCAGCCUUGCGGCCGUACUCCCCAGGCGGGGCACUUAAUGCGUUAGCGCCGGCACUCGGAGGGUCGCUCCCCCAAGCACCUAGUGCCCAUCGUUUACGGCGUGGACUAC
This 390-nucleotide unclassified non-coding RNA is filed under the name uncultured Gemmatimonadaceae bacterium. RNAcentral describes it as "contains 16S-23S intergenic spacer region". The record is from RNAcentral. Lineage: Bacteria; Pseudomonadati; Gemmatimonadota; Gemmatimonadia; Gemmatimonadales; Gemmatimonadaceae.